CAUAAAUAUCCAGUCUCUAUGAGUAUCCACUCGAGAUCAGCUUGGAGCAAUCUUCUAUAAUCUGAAUUUUGAUUCUUCAAAAUUCAGCCUGCUGAAUCUGAAUGAAGCCUGGAUCGCGAUCAACACUUGAUCUUUCUCCUUGAUCUUCUUUUUUUUUCUCUAGAGUUUCUCCUUGCUAUGUCCUGCUAUCAGAUGCUAAAAACC
Molecule: long non-coding RNA, 204 nt
Filed under: Elaeis guineensis (African oil palm)
Lineage: Eukaryota; Viridiplantae; Streptophyta; Magnoliopsida; Arecales; Arecaceae
Description: long non-coding RNA (EGUI_LNC063681)
Source: RNAcentral